AGGAUGAACGCUAGCGGCAGGCCUAACACAUGCAAGUCGAGGGGUAACAUGGUGUGCUUGCACACUGAUGACGACCGGCGCACGGGUGCGCAACGCGUAUAGAACCUACCCUGUACAGGGGGGAUAGCCCGGAGAAAUCCGGAUUAAUACCCCGUGGUAACAUGAUAUGGCAUCGUAUUAUGUUUAAAGCCUUCGGGCGGUACGGGAUGGCUAUGCGUCCUAUUAGCCAGAUGGUGAGGUAACGGCUCGACCAUAGCUACGAGUAGGUACGGGGCCCUAGAGGAGGGGGACUCCCCCACACUGGUACUGAGACACGGACCAGACUCCUACGGGAGCAGCAGUGAGGAAUAGUUGGACAAGUGGGACGGAAGCCUGGACUCCGAGCCAUGACCGCGUGCGAGGAAGACGACGUACCCGUAGGGUUAC
This 426-nucleotide ribosomal RNA is filed under the name uncultured soil bacterium. Its description in RNAcentral is "bacterial SSU rRNA". It matches the Rfam family "Bacterial small subunit ribosomal RNA", at positions 26 to 431 of the family's 1533-position model. The record is from RNAcentral.